CAUCUUUUCAUGGCCCCCCGAAGCGCCUAUAUUGAAAGGGUCGGUUUUCCGACUAUGGCGAUAAACAUUAAGUGAAAUAGGCGUAGCGGACCCGGGGGCAGUACCCGGCGCCUCCACCAUAUUUUUUACACCCGCAGACCUUGGGUCAUUUUCAACAGGGGACAAGCGGGGCUUAUGGGGGCGAAACAGGAUCGACGCGCGUGGUAAAGGCUUAAUUUUUGCUCGGUAUGAUACCACCGUUAUCGGGUCGUUUUAUAAGUGCCAAUGACAACAAUCGUUAUGCACUCGCUGCUUAAAUAAGCAAGCGCGGUCCGGGGGGCACCGGGCAACAGAAGCCCCCCACC
This 344-nucleotide transfer-messenger RNA is filed under the name Rhodospirillaceae bacterium. It matches the Rfam family "Alphaproteobacteria transfer-messenger RNA". Rfam says of the family: Bacterial tmRNA, also known as 10Sa RNA or SsrA, is named for its dual tRNA and mRNA-like properties. Its role is to liberate the mRNA from a stalled ribosome. The record is from RNAcentral. Lineage: Bacteria; Pseudomonadati; Pseudomonadota; Alphaproteobacteria; Rhodospirillales; Rhodospirillaceae.